RNAcentral lists this ribosomal RNA (253 nucleotides) under uncultured bacterium. RNAcentral describes it as "partial 16S ribosomal RNA". It matches the Rfam family "Bacterial small subunit ribosomal RNA", at positions 524 to 776 of the family's 1533-position model. The record is from RNAcentral.
UACGUAGGUGGCAAGCGUUGUCCGGAUUUAUUGGGUUUAAAGGGUGCGUAGGCGGUCCUGUAAGUCAGUGCUGAAAUAUCCCAGCUUAACUGGGAGGGUGGCAUUGAUACUGCGGGGCUAGAGUACAGAUGAGAUAGGCGGAAUUGACGGUGUAGCGGUGAAAUGCUUAGAUAUCGUCAAGAACACCUAUAGCGAAGGCAGCUUACUAGGCUGUAACUGACGCUGAGGCACGAAAGUGUGGGGAUCAAACAGG